AUGGCGGCGACGGGGGAGGAGACGGUGCGUGCGUCGCACAUCCUGAUCAAGCACGAGGGGUCCCGGCGCAAGGCGUCCUGGAAGGACCCCGAGGGCCGGGUCAUCUCCGCCACCACGCGCGCCGACGCCGCCGCGCGCCUCGGCGACCUCCGCGCCCAGAUCCUCGCCGGCCGCGGCUCCUUCGCCGACCUCGCCGCGCAGCACUCCGACUGCUCCUCCGCCCGCCGCGGCGGCGACCUAGGCACCUUUGGGAGGAGGCAGAUGCAGAAGCCCUUCGAGGACGCCACGUAUGCUCUCAAGGUGGGGGAGAUCAGCGACAUCAUCGACACCGAGAGCGGGGUUCACAUCAUCCUGCGUACCGCAUAA
Molecule: ribosomal RNA, 366 nt
Filed under: Triticum aestivum (bread wheat)
Lineage: Eukaryota; Viridiplantae; Streptophyta; Magnoliopsida; Poales; Poaceae
Description: partial small subunit ribosomal RNA
Source: RNAcentral